AUUGUGAACUUACCAAACGUUCCCUCGGCGGGCUCAGCGCGCGGCGGCCUCCGGGCCUCCGGGCGUCCGCCGGGGAAAACCAAACCCUGAUUUAAUCGUAUUUUCUGAGGGGCGAAAGCCCGAAAACAAAAUGAAUCAAAACUUUCAACAACGGAUCUCUUGGCUCUGGCAUCGAUGAAGAACGCAGCGAAAUGCGAUAAGUAAUGUGAAUUGCAGAAUUCAGUGAAUCAUCGAAUCUUUGAACGCACAUUGCGCCCGCCGGCACUCCGGCGGGCAUGCCUGUCCGAGCGUCAUUUCAACCCUCAGGCCCACCCUUCCGGGGGAGCGGGCCUGGUGCUGGGGAUCGGCGGCCCUCGCGGCCCCCGUCCCCCAAAUUCAGUGGCGGUCGCGCCGCAGCCUCCCCUGCGUAGUAGCACAACCUCGCACCGGAGAGCGGAACGACCACGCCGUGAAACCCCC
This 459-nucleotide ribosomal RNA is filed under the name Sarocladium strictum. Its description in RNAcentral is "eukaryotic LSU rRNA". The stretch from base 140 to 293 matches the Rfam family "5.8S ribosomal RNA". Lineage: Eukaryota; Fungi; Ascomycota; Sordariomycetes; Hypocreales; Sarocladiaceae. The record is from RNAcentral.